This 5935-nucleotide long non-coding RNA is filed under the name Sus scrofa (pig). RNAcentral's name for it is "lncRNA (ENSSSCG00040050348.1)". The record is from RNAcentral. Lineage: Eukaryota; Metazoa; Chordata; Mammalia; Artiodactyla; Suidae.
GGGUUUUGGUCUUGCAUCAGGCUGUAAACUCCUUGGUUGCAGCGACCACAUUUGUCUUGUUCACCAUGUGACUAGCGUGGAAGAGGAGUUCAGGAAAUGUUUGUUGACUAAAAGACAUUGGGACUUUAUCACAUCAACUUUCAAUUCCUGCAACAACUGGAAGCUUGGAUCCUAUGAGUCCAUGAUGAGAGACGGCACUUGGCUGAAUACUUAAGUUCUUCUCAAGAUAAGUCAGCAUUUCUCAUCACUAUUUUAUGAUACAGUCGUACCUUGGUAGCCUUAGGGGAUUGGUUCCAGGACCCACAGCAGAUACAAAAUCUGAUGAUGCUCAAGUUCCAUAGUCAGCUCUCUGUAUCCAGUGGUUCCACAUCUGCAGCUUCACCAACCUCUGAUGGUAAACAUAGCACGGGAUUCACAGUUGGUUGAAUCUGUGGAUGCAGAACCCAUGUAAUACCUAAUAUGAUUUGAGAUGCCCCUAUUGAACAAUAAAAAAUUGAUGUCCUUUGUUUCUGGUUCCUGGGAGGGAGAAAGACCCUAAAUCCUUGGCAUUUCCUGAGUAAUAGGAGUAUCUUUGUUAUUCGUGAGACCCUUGGAUCAUACCUGAGUUUAUGCUAAUGAAAUGACUUUGGAUGAAAGGCUGGUCACCAGAAAGAUACCCAUGUGAUUAAAGGGUUGGGGCUUUAAGCCAGACCAACCUUCAGGGAGGUAAGGGGGCCUGAAUUGAAUUCAAUCGUGUGGCCAAUGAUUCAAUCAGUCAUGUCUACAUGUGAAAACACUGGACACUGAUUUUGAGGGAGCUUCCUGGCUGGUGAAUGAGACCAAUACUGGGAACGUGAUGUCCCCUGAUCCCACAGGGAGAGCACAUGGCAGCUCUGUGUUUGGGACCCUCCCAAACUUUGCCCUACAUGUCUUUUCAUUUGUCUGGUCCUCCUAAUUUGUAUCCUUUACUAUAAUUGAAAGUAUGGCAUUUUCCUGAAUUCUGUGAGUUGUUCUAGCAAGUUAUCAAAUCUGAGGAGGUGUCAUGGGAACACCUCAGAUUUGUAGCCAUUUGGAGCAAGUGGCCUAGGGACCCCCAAACUUGUGCCUGGCAUGUGAAGUAAGGGCGUCUUGUUGGGGACUGUGUCGUUAACUUGGGCAUCUGACACUUAACUCUGGGCGACUGUAUCAGAAUCACACUGCGGUAUUCCAGUCCCUAUACAUCUACACUCGUGUCAUUCCCUUGCCAGGGCCUUGCUGGGAUGCUCACGUCUGCAUGAUUUCAUAAAGGUUAGAGGCCAAGGGAGGGCAGAUUUACCCAAAGAAUCAAAUUCCAAUGCCUUCUAAUAUACAUCCCUGAAUUUUUACAAUUUCUUGCUUGUUGAUUAUCUGCCCUAGCUUUUGUUUCUCUGAUUUUACUAGAUUAUCCAGAUUUUGGCAAAUGCUCAUGAUAUAACUGCAUGAGUUUAACCUAUAUACCUUCAGGAUACAUUUCCUGCUGCCUCCAUUUUUCCUCAGAAUGUCCUUAGUUGUGUGUGUUUGCGUGUGUGUGUGAUGGUCAUCAAUCUGAGUUUUCAUCAGAGGUUUGCCAUCUUGAUGUUUCCUUUACACAAGCAAAGCAGUGAAUGGAUUCUACAGAACAAAUCAGUGAGUGACUAUUGUGCAAUACAGAUCCCUGCUACAAGUUCAAAUAUACAUUGCUUAAAUUCUCUGAACUGGAGAGAACAUUUUACUUUCCCACUGUCAUUUUGUGCUGGGACAAACUGCUUCUCUAGACUGUCUUUAACUGAGCUGCAAAGGCUACCCACCCCACCACAGAUUCUCAUUGUGCUGAGGAUUCAUGUAUCACUGGCACUUCCCGUCUCUCACACACGGCAAUACUUCUCAGCAGUGGUCACAGCCUGAGAUAGUUCCUUUCUCACUAGGGCCUCCUUUCUCGCCUCGCAGAUUUUCUUCAGCUGAUUCUCACCAUGGCUUUAGUUGACUGCUGGCUUCUUGCUACCCAGCAGCCAGGGUGGUACAAUGAUGCAAUAAUCAACCACAUUUCCAAUUUUGUUUUAGCUUGUUCAAGAGCAAAGCAAUCAUUACCUCCAGGUCCUGGAGGGGGGCUUAACUACCUUAUUUAAUUUUAUGAGAACGUUUAUGGGAAAAGGGGCCAGAUCUGAUCUAUGUCCUUCUGAGCAGAAUUGAAGGCCACCUACCCUCUGCUACUAUAUAAUUAUCUGCAUUACAUAAAAAAGGAGAAAAACUGUUUAUACCCUGGAAUCUUACUUCAAAGGGGUUCUUCUGGUGGAAAUGUGAUGAAUAAUGUUACUGCCCCAGGAUGACAAAGGAUAGUGCUGACACCGGGUAGCCUUGUGAUGUGUGUCAUAUUUUAGAUUAUAAAUAUAAGUGAUGUCUUUCUCUUUCUGACGUACUUCACUUAGUAUGAACAUCUCUAGGUCCAUUCAUGUUGCUGCAAAUGGCAUUAUUUCAUUCUUUUUCAUGGCCGAGUAGUAUUCCAUUAUAUAUGUACCAUAUCUUCUUUAUCCAUUCAUCUGUCCAUACAUGGAACUUAGAUUGUUUCCUUGUCUUGGGUAUUGUGAAUAGUGCUGUAAUGAACAUAGGGGUGUGUUAUCUUUUUGAAUUAUAAUUUUGUUUAGGUGCAUGCCCAGGAGUGGGAUUGCUUGAUCAUGCAGAAAAAAGAUUAGAAAUUUUUAAAAAUCCAUACACAAUUUAUUAAAAUCAAAGACUACAGAGAGAAGAUAUUCAGUAAGUGAGAAAUAAAGGAUGUGCAUCAAAAAUAGUUGGGUUUUAUUUUUCUGAGCCAGCCCCUCCCUUGUUUCCAUGCCCUUCUUUAUAUUAAAAAAAAAAAUUCAGACUUUGGAGACAUUUCACAAAAAUCCUGCCAAGGAAAAUACCAAGAAUUCAAUGGGCACAGGAGCCCACAAUGCAAUAAAGAGAAAGCCACAAAAUGUUUUGGAUGGCUUUAAAAGUAUGUUACAUUUAUCAUUGUUGAUUAUAAAAUGUGCAUGAAAUAUCACAUUCCUAAUGUUUUCCUCAACCAAAUGGAAUCUGCUCUGUGUUCCAAACUGCUAGACUGUGAGGAAAUUCAACCCUAGUCAUUAGUGGGGCUCCCUCCUCCCUUCAUGAGAUCAUAAAACAUCAGGGGUUUAUUCAGUGCCAGAAAAGCUGAGAGCAAGGCCAGGUCCUUAGUAACCAGUGGUGGCUGUCACAGCUCAGGCUUGCUAUAAUAAAAUACCACAGACCAGGUGGCCUAAACAGCAAACAUUUCUUUCUCACAGUUCUGGAGGCCCAGAAGUCUUAGAACGAGGGGCUAGAAGAUUCAGUGUCUGGUAAGAGUUCUCUUCCUUGUUUCCAGAUGGCCAGCUUCUCUCUGCAUCCUCACAUGACAGAGACAGAGAAGGGAUCUGGUCUUUUCCUCUUCUUGUCAGGGCACUAAUUCUACCACUGGGGUCCCACCUCAUGACCUCACCUAAACCUAACUACCUUCCAAAGACUCCACCCCCAAAUACCAUCACGUUGGGGAUUAGGGCUUUGACAUAUGAAUUUAGGGGUGAUACAAACACUCCAUCCAUAGCAGCAGCCAUGGUUUCCAUUGAUCCCUCUUCUUUCAGAGGUUUCUGUCAAACCCUGGUGUCCUCUGGAUCAGGCACUGCCCCUUAUGGAUGUCCAUAUCACUGACCACAGAGUUCCCCUGGGGUACCAUGUCCUGUGUCCCUAGUGGAGAGAAACCAUGCCCGGCCUCUCUGGGCUUUGUCCAGCCAUCCUUCAGCCUAGGUAUGCCCUGGGAAAAAUCAGAAGCCUGAGUCUCCACUACUCAUUGAGCAGAAGGUACCAAAUUUCCAGAUCCCAGAGAAUCUCAACCUCCGCUAAGCACAUACCCACAACCCACUUCUGUCUCAGCCUAGAUGUUUAUACAUGACCCUAACACCAACACUCACCCACCCUCUCCAUAUCCAAAACAGAAGCUCAGAAAUGAGAACAAAAACUUCAUAACCUUCUCAGUGAGGGAAAUACACAUAGAGCAACAAGAACAAAACAAAAAAUAAUUCCAUAAUAAAUUAUCCUGCCACAAGCCUGACAGCUAAAAGAAUUCUAAUGAAAUGAAGAUUUGGCAAAUACUGUAGCCACACUGGCAAAGUAAGUUAAUGAGAUGGAUUCUUACAGAGCUCAUCAUGGACACAAAGGCUGUGGACUAGGUAAAGAUUCAGCUGUUCCUGUUACCUAUCGCUGCAUAACCACUCCAAACCUAGUGGCUUAAAACCACUCACUGCAUAACUACUUCAAACCUAGUGGCUUAAAGUUAGUGACUUUGUCAGUUCGCAAGUCUACUCCUAUUGAUAUCAACUGGGGUCACUCAGGGCCAUCAUUUGGCAGAUGAGCUAGUCUAAAGAGUCCAGGACGGGAGUUCCUGUUGUGGCUCAGUGGUUAACGAAUCCCACUAGAAACCAUGAGGUUGCAGGUUCGAUUCCUGGCUUUGCUCAGGAGGUUAAGGAUACGGUGUUGCCGUGAGCUGUGGUGUAGGUUGCAGACGCAGCUCAGAUCCUGUGUUGCUGUGGCUCUGGCGUAGGCCGGUGUUUACAGCUCCAAUUAGACUCCUAGCCUGGGAACCUCCAUGUGCCUCGGGAAGCAGCCCUAGAAAAAUGCAAAAAGACAAAAAAAAAAAAAAAAAAGAAAAAGAGUCCAGGACAGUUUCCCUUACACCUCUGUCUCCUUGAUGGGGACAGCUGGGCUCUGCUGGUGGUUGACCCCAGGGCUGGACACGGCUGUUCCAUCAUACAGUCUCGGGGAAUUUGGACUUCCUGCAUGGUGGCUCAGGGCUCCCAGAGAGUGUUCCAAGAGAUAAAAAGUAGAAGUUGCCUAAGUCUGGAAAGUGGCUCAGCAUCAGCUCUACCAAUUUUUGUUGAUCAAAAAGCCACAGAGGGAGUUCCCGAUGUGGUUCAGCAGAUAAAGAAUCCAACUAGUAUCCAUGAGGAGGUGGGUUUGAUCCCUGGCCUCACUCAGUGGGUCAGGGCUCUGGCGUUGCUGUGAGCUGUGGUGUAGUUUGCAGAUGCAGCUCAGAUCCCUCGUUGCUAUGGCUGUGGUGUAAGCCAACAGUUGCAGCUCCAUUCGACCCCUAGCCUGGGAAUUUCCAUGCCACGUGUACAGCCCUAAAAAAAGAGGAAAAAAAGCCUCAGAAUUCAUCUAAAUUCAAGGGGACCCCACUUCUCAAUGGGACAAACAGCAAAGGAUUGGUGGCUGUCUUUAAUCUCCAGGUGACUCCAGGUGAGUUGAGACCUGCCUUAGCAGUGAUGCCUCUGAAACCGAGGGCUCUGGAGACAAUACCAAGAACACCUCAAACUUGAUCAAGUGUCUGUCUGGUUGAUGUGAGAAACCCACAGGUCUCACUGCUGGAUUGACAGAGGCUAAUGCUCAUACUCAAGAGUCCAGCUAGUAUUUAAUGAAAGAGGCAGCAAACGGAGGGCUCACAAUAACACAAACCCAUCUAAUCCAUUUCAGUUUUUGCGGAAGCUGAAAAAUGCAUGAGAUCAAUUCAGGAUGCCAUUAAACAGGUGAUCGAAAAAAAAUUGAUUCAUAGAAGAUGUCAGGAGCGACAAAGCAGAAAGUCCUUCAUAAUUUACAUUCUGCCCCGCCUCCCCUCCUCUCAAUAAGAAAAGAACAAAGAUCCCAUGAGGAGGGCACCGAGCACAGUGGGCACUGAAAUAAUAGAAGACUGUUUCCACCCCUUACUCCAUUUUGUAGUCUCAUUUUCUUACAGUUAAAUCUUUUGAAAAAUAUACACAGGAGUUCCCGUUGUGGCUCAGUGGUUAACAAAUCCGACAAGGAACCACGAGGUUGCUUGGAUCCUAAGUUGCUGCGGCUCUGGCGCAGGCCAGCGGCUAUAGCUCCAAUCAGACCCCUAGCCUGGGAACCUCCAUAUGCCGCAGGUGCGGCUCUAGAAAAGACAAAAAAAAAA